GACGAACGCUGGCGGCGUGCUUAACACAUGCAAGUCGAACGAAGAGCGACGGAAGCUUGCUUCUAUCAAUCUUAGUGGCGAACGGGUGAGUAACGCGUAAUCAACCUGCCCUUCAGAGGGGGACAACAGUUGGAAACGACUGCUAAUACCGCAUACGAUCUAACCUCGGCAUCGAGGAUAGAUGAAAGGUGGCCUCUACAUGUAAGCUAUUACUGAAGGAGGGGAUUGCGUCUGAUUAGCUAGUUGGAGGGGUAACGGCCCACCAAGGCGAUGAUCAGUAGCCGGUCUGAGAGGCUGAACGGCCACAUUGGGACUGAGACACGGCCCAGACUCCUACGGGAGGCAGCAGUGGGGAAUCUUCCGCAAUGGACGAAAGUCUGACGGAGCAACGCCGCGUGAGUGAUGACGGCCUUCGGGUUGUAAAGCUCUGUUAAUCGGGACGAAAGGCCUUCUUGCGAAUAGUGAGAAGGAUUGACGGUACCGGAAUAGAAAGCCACGGCUAACUACGUG
RNAcentral lists this ribosomal RNA (510 nucleotides) under uncultured bacterium. RNAcentral's name for it is "partial 16S ribosomal RNA". It matches the Rfam family "Bacterial small subunit ribosomal RNA", at positions 28 to 507 of the family's 1533-position model. The record is from RNAcentral.